CCUGGUGACUAUAGCGGAGGGGAAACACCCGUUCCCAUCCCGAACACGGAAGUUAAGCCCUCCAGCGCCGAUGGUACUGCCCCGUCUGUGGGUGGGAGAGUAGGUCGUUGCCAGGU
This 116-nucleotide ribosomal RNA is filed under the name Spirochaetaceae bacterium. Lineage: Bacteria; Pseudomonadati; Spirochaetota; Spirochaetia; Spirochaetales; Spirochaetaceae. The record is from RNAcentral.